ACAGACGCUUCCCCUUUCACCUUUACCUUCUUCCUUUUCUCCUUCUCUCAGCCGUUUAACGAACUUGAAAAGGCAGACACAUGGUUUCAAGUUCGUUUAAAACCUUCUCUCAGACACUGCUUUUCCGUGUCUGCCUCUGAUUUCCAGCAUCUCCUCGACACCCUGCCUCGCCCUUCCACCGCCGUCUGGAACACCUUCAUCAUCGGCUUCAUCUGCGACCAGAAGCCCCUCGACGCCCUCCUCCUCUACGCCCACGUCUCUUUCAGGAUCUCAAGGAGGAUAUUUGUUUUGCAAUGGUAACCCCUGUCGCAGGUACCUUGGCCACUGGGAUUGGGGCUUUGACGGGUGGUCAAGGAACUGGCUAGAUGGCGGUUAUGCAAAUGAAGGGGAGACAAAGGAUUUUUGGAGGGUUCGAAUCAAAGUAGGGAAGGCGGUCUGCUCCGUUUAGAUUUGGUGCGCCUUUGCUGGGAUUAUGGGGUUCCAGUUUGUGCAUUGGUGUCGUUCUUCUACGUUGUUCUUGAUUGUGGGUUAAUCAGUUCUUUGGUGUGAUGAGGCUGCAACUCAUGAUGCUUAUUCCCAAAAGAAGUAUUAGCAGCAACAACAGAAAAAGCAAAACGGAGGUUGACUGAAGCUUGGCUUUGAGGCAGGACUCUCGAAAGCUACCACUUGCGGAGUUAUUCAAUUUCAGAAUCAGAAGUGAAAGAUCUCUGAAACUGAAAUUAAGUUGGGGUGUUCAAAGAACCUGAUGAUUCUAUCCUGAGACAAAGAAUGACUUCAGUCACCAGCUUAGGAAACAAUUAGAUUGUGCGGUGGAAAUCAGAAAUGGCGUGAAGAGGACACAUGCUGGUUUCGCUUGGUUUAAUAUUACCUGAAUAUUGAUGGUGAAUUUGGAGGGAUUGGUUAAAUCCAAUCAAAUAAUUUUUUGGCAUAUUGAAAAACUUCAAUUGAAACAUUCACUGGAGACACACAGUUACCCUCAAUGUUGUAAAUAUGGGUGGAACUUAAAUAAUGUACAUUCCUUCUCACGGUCUCUUUUUUUAAUAAGAUCUUAAGCUUCACAUAGCUUUUUUGGCUUGCAUUCCGUCUCAUAAUCUCUUUCUUUGUUGUCAUUGUUUUUUGGAGGGCGUUUGACAACAGGUUUCUCCUUGGAUUUCAUCUAUUAGGUCUGUUAUAGGAUGGGAAUAUUGAUGGGAGUACACUGUUUGGUUUGAUUCAAUUGAGAUCAUGGAAGUGGUUGUCUGCAGAAAACAAGGAAUUUACUUCAUCAAUGUUUGAAUGGUUAACUAAUCUAAUGGCAUGCCUCGGUGGAUAUUGAUCAGUGCUUUUGGUUCAGGAUGGCUUUUGAUUUCAAGUUGCAAUUGGGUUGGCGGUUGCUGCAAUUUUGGAUUUGCUUCUUGGAUCCUGUAUUGUUUCGCUAGAGGAUGCUGGACGUAGAGGACAAGAUGCUGGUGGAUUUUGAGAUAGUAAUUACUAUUGUAAUAGCCACUAUCUUAGCUUUAGGCAGCAUAGUUGGUUUUUUCUUUUUGUCUAAUUUUCUGGCCCAUUGAAUGUUUUGUGCAGAAGCCUCUCAAUAAAAGUGAAGCAGUUGUUCCUUCUAAUUUGCUGGAUAAUAAUUUGGCUUUUGAUCCAGCCCUCAAUAAGAUUGCCAGACAUGAGGGUGCAUCAGACAUGUAGCUUAAUCCCUUUUGUAAUUUGGUAUUUGAUUUCUAAUGGGCAGAAGUGUUUGAAUUCUGAACUGUA
Lotus japonicus is the source of this 1740-nucleotide long non-coding RNA. RefSeq lists it as uncharacterized. The transcript is spliced from 6 exons. Lineage: Eukaryota; Viridiplantae; Streptophyta; Magnoliopsida; Fabales; Fabaceae. The record is from RefSeq and is a predicted model, not a curated record.